UACAGAGGGGGCAAGCGUUGUUCGGAAUUACUGGGCGUAAAGGGCGCGUAGGCGGCCUUCUAAGUCGAACGUGAAAUCCCCGGGCUCAACCCGGGAACUGCGUCCGAUACUGGAAGGCUUGAAUCCGGGAGAGGGAUGCGGAAUUCCUGGUGUAGCAGUGAAAUGCGUAGAUAUCAGGAGGAACACCGAUGGCGAAGGCAGGUCUCUGGGCUGACACUGACGCUCAUGCACGAAAGCGUGGGGAGCAAACAGG
This 253-nucleotide ribosomal RNA is filed under the name uncultured bacterium. RNAcentral's name for it is "partial 16S ribosomal RNA". It matches the Rfam family "Bacterial small subunit ribosomal RNA", at positions 524 to 776 of the family's 1533-position model. The record is from RNAcentral.